UCUAUUUUACUUCACAAUGAAAUUGUGUCAUGUUUACACAUCUUUUACACACCCUUCUCUCCUUAAACUAAAUUCCAUUGGCUUUGAUCCAUUAUACAGGAGGUGCUGUCAUGCAGAGUUUGCUGUCUGAAAUCCUUACCCAGCAGGUCUGGGUGAUCCAGAUGUGCUUCGCACAGAGCUCUCCACGCGGGUGCUAGCUACUUCAGAAGGCUGAGGGGGAAUCAGACUUUUCCGGACUGCCAGUCUGGAAGACAUAGAUAAGCUUGAAACUGCUGCCGCUCAGCUUGAGUGGACAGCUCUUCAGAGACCAAUCCAUAUGGUGGAAAAGGAGAGAAGGACAGACGUUUUAAUGAGAGCAAGCAAAACCCAGGAGGACCAUGGAACUCUCCAGCUGCAACUGGUGAAUGGAGACCAUGCUUCCCUCCCAGGCCUCACAGGAAGAUUUUAAAAGAAAACUACAACCUCCUCCACAGAUAAGUGGUUGAAGACAGACACAGCUUGCUGGAAUACAUUCAAAGAUGAACCCACUCAGACAAAGGUUAAGUGAUGUGCCUAAAGUCACACAGCAAGUCAUUGGCAGAGCAGAGGAAAGAACCCACAUCUCCUGACACACUCAUGUGCUGUAUCAAUUGGACCUUAGCAGAGAAAUCUCUAACUUCUAUAUAGUAUUUCUGACAUUCACAGGGAUAUCAGUCUUCUCUAUUCCCCGUUAAUGCGGUCUAUGUGAAUGUCAGGAAUCUUGGGGCUCCUCAAGACACUUUCCUUAUGUGUUUACCUCAGGGUUGAUUCCGUAGCAUGUGCUGCUGUUGUAGUAAUAACUGGAGACUGAGCUCUUGUGGCAGAGACUGUUGCUAUUACAGCAGGAGGGAUAGUGCUUGACGUCGUCACAGGAGGACGAGACUGUAAAGACAACAGA
Molecule: long non-coding RNA, 916 nt
Organism: Mauremys reevesii (Reeves's turtle)
Lineage: Eukaryota; Metazoa; Chordata; Testudines; Geoemydidae
Exons: 3
Source: RefSeq, a predicted model, not a curated record